ACUGCUCAGUAACACGUGGACAACCUGCCCUUAGGUUGGGUAUAAACCCGGGAAACUGGGUAUAAUACCCGAUAGGUCUCGAUUGCUGGAAUGCAUCGAGAUUUAAAGCUCCGGCGCCUAAGGAUGGGUCUGCGGCCUAUCAGGUAGUAGUGGGUGUAGCGUACCUACUAGCCUACGACGGGUACGGGUUGUGAGAGCAAGAGCCCGGAGAUGGAUUCUGAGACACGAAUCCAGGCCCUACGGGGUGCAGCAGGCGCGAAAACUUUACAAUGCUGGCAACAGCGAUAAGGGAACCUCGAGUGCCAGGUUACAAAUCUGGCUGUCGAGAUGCCUAAAAAGCAUUUCAUAGCAAGGGCCGGGCAAGACCGGUGCCAGCCGCCGCGGUAACACCGGCGGCUCGAGUGGUAACCGUUAUUAUUGGGUCUAAAGGGUCUGUAGCCGGCCGGAUAAGUCUCUUGAGAAAUCUGGCAGCUUAACUGUCAGGCUUUCAGGAGAUACUGUCUGGCUCGAGGCCGGGAGAGGUGAGAGGUACUUCAGGGGUAGGGGCGAAAUCUUGUAAUCCUUGAAGGACCACCAGUGGCGAAGGCGUCUCACCAGAACGGACCUGACGGCAAGGGACGAAAGCUAGGGGCACGAACCGGAUUAGAUACCCGGGUAGUCCUAGCCGUAAACGAUACUCGCUAGGUGUCGGCCACGGUGCGACCGUUGUCGGUGCCGUAGGGAAGCCGUGAAGCGAGCCACCUGGGAAGUACGGCCGCAAGGCUGAAACUUAAAGGAAUUGGCGGGGGAGCAC
RNAcentral lists this ribosomal RNA (793 nucleotides) under uncultured archaeon. RNAcentral describes it as "bacterial SSU rRNA". It matches the Rfam family "Archaeal small subunit ribosomal RNA", at positions 85 to 879 of the family's 1478-position model. The record is from RNAcentral.